GAUAACGCGGCGCCGGCGGCGGCGGUAAUACGUGGGGUGCAAGGUGGUAGCGGAAUUAGUGGGGGGAAAGGGGUCGUAGGCGGUUCGUGGGGUCCGGUGUGAAAGGCCAUCGGUUAACGGUGGAUCCGCGCCGGGUACGGGCGGGGUUGAGGGCGGUAGGGGAGACUGGAAUUCCCGGUGUAACGGUGGAAUGUGUAGAUAUCGGGAAGAACACCAAUGGCGAAGGCAGGUCUCUGGGCCGUUACUGACGCUGAGGAGCGAAAGCGUGGGGAGCGAACAGGAUUAGAUACCCCUGUAGUC
This 300-nucleotide ribosomal RNA is filed under the name uncultured Paenibacillus sp. RNAcentral's name for it is "partial 16S ribosomal RNA". It matches the Rfam family "Bacterial small subunit ribosomal RNA", at positions 496 to 795 of the family's 1533-position model. Lineage: Bacteria; Bacillati; Bacillota; Bacilli; Caryophanales; Paenibacillaceae. The record is from RNAcentral.